This 74-nucleotide transfer RNA is filed under the name Columba livia (rock pigeon). Its description in RNAcentral is "partial tRNA-Thr". It matches the Rfam family "tRNA". From Rfam's summary of the family: Transfer RNA (tRNA) molecules are approximately 80 nucleotides in length. Their secondary structure includes four short double-helical elements and three loops (D, anti-codon, and T loops). The record is from RNAcentral. Lineage: Eukaryota; Metazoa; Chordata; Aves; Columbiformes; Columbidae.
GGCUCCAUAGCUCAGGGGGUAGAGCCUUGGUCUAGUAGACCAGGGGUCAUGACUUCAAAUCUCCCCUGGAGCCU